This 45-nucleotide non-coding RNA is filed under the name Schistosoma margrebowiei. The record is from RNAcentral. Lineage: Eukaryota; Metazoa; Platyhelminthes; Trematoda; Strigeidida; Schistosomatidae.
AUCCAGCUGACGAGUCUCAAACAGGACGAAACGCGCGUCCUNNUU